GAUCUUUGGAAGAGCGAGUGCUCGGGCCCGCCACUUGUCGCGCCGUCGGCCCUCGCCCUUUCAGACAGUCCGGGAACUGGUUCCCUCCAGCCGCCCUCACCUGUUCUGCCAUCCCCUGGAGGCACAAUAUAGCCAGACAGAUUAGACGGGAGAGAUUAGAUUUUUCGGCGUCAAAUGUACAUUUAGGCAACAGCCCUAGGACUGGAGCUGGCCGCAGUGGACCUAAGAAUCUGUAGCUGCCCGUCUGCCCUCACCUUUGUAGGAGGGUGGUGCGAGGAGGAAGCGUGGUGAUUGUGAGGAAGAGCAGAGGCACGCUGACGAAAAGGGGUGAGAGGAUUCAGUAACUUAGAGAGAACAAUUGGCGAGGUCAGAGAAUGCCUAAUAUUAUAUCAGUGUUGCUAUGAAAACCUGUUUACUUCUACUUUUCGUCCCCGGGAUUUGUUUUGUCUGAGUGCAGCUCUCCUCUCGGCGGCGACACUGAGUCAGCUCUUUGCUGGACUUGCCCUCUUGGAAAGAUAACCUUGAGACCAGAUAGCAACCUUAAUUAUCCCCACGCACUCACCCACCUUGCCCCCAGAAGACAGACCUGUUCAGGGGGAGCGUGGGGUAUAACAGGCUGACAGCAACUUCAUGGGACUCUGAAGGGCACACUGGAAAGCUUCCUAGAUUGAAGGGUUGAAGACUGACUGACCCUAGAAUAGAAAAGUAAUAAACAUCCCCUUGGAGACUUUCUCCCGAGAGAGGAGAUGAGGGAACUAUGUUUAAGGAAAUGGGAUGUCAAAGUGGCAAAGCCAGGCUUUGAAGUCACUUCUCUUAACCUCUGUGGAAGUGGAAGGGUGACAGAUAGAAGAGGUAAGGAACAUGAGAAGAAAGAAGCAAUUAUGUCACAGACGAGUUUCGUGAAGACCCAAGAGACUUACUG
Balaenoptera musculus (blue whale) is the source of this 922-nucleotide long non-coding RNA. RefSeq lists it as uncharacterized. Lineage: Eukaryota; Metazoa; Chordata; Mammalia; Artiodactyla; Balaenopteridae. The record is from RefSeq and is a predicted model, not a curated record. The transcript is spliced from 4 exons.